RNAcentral lists this ribosomal RNA (457 nucleotides) under Streptococcus intermedius. RNAcentral's name for it is "bacterial SSU rRNA". It matches the Rfam family "Bacterial small subunit ribosomal RNA", at positions 28 to 471 of the family's 1533-position model. The record is from RNAcentral. Lineage: Bacteria; Bacillati; Bacillota; Bacilli; Lactobacillales; Streptococcaceae.
GACGAACGCGGCGGCGUGCCUAAUACAUGCAAGUAGAACGCACAGGAUGCACCGUAGUUUACUACACCGUAUUCUUGAGUUGCGAACGGGUGAGUAACGCGUAGGUAACCUGCCUGGUAGCGGGGGAUAACUAUUGGAAACGAUAGCUAAUACCGCAUAAGAACAUUUACUGCAUGGUAGAUGUUUAAAAGGUGCAAAUGCAUCACUACCAGAUGGACCUGCGUUGUAUUAGCUAGUAGGUGAGGUAACGGCUCACCUAGGCGACGAUACAUAGCCGACCUGAGAGGGUGAUCGGCCACACUGGGACUGAGACACGGCCCAGACUCCUACGGGAGGCAGCAGUAGGGAAUCUUCGGCAAUGGGGGGAACCCUGACCGAGCAACGCCGCGUGAGUGAAGAAGGUUUUCGGAUCGUAAAGCUCUGUUGUUAAGGAAGAAACGAGUUUGAGAAUGGAAAG